RNAcentral lists this ribosomal RNA (485 nucleotides) under uncultured bacterium. RNAcentral's name for it is "partial 16S ribosomal RNA". It matches the Rfam family "Bacterial small subunit ribosomal RNA", at positions 29 to 523 of the family's 1533-position model. The record is from RNAcentral.
AGUGAACGCUGGCGGCGUGCUUAACACAUGCAAGUCGAACGAGAACGGAAUAUAGCUUGCUAUAUUUGUCAGCUAAGUGGCGCACGGGUGAGUAAUGUAUAGAUAACCUGCCCUUAAGAAAGGAAUAACAGUUGGAAACGACUGCUAAUGCCCUAUAUGCCUUUAAUACAUAAGUAUGCAAGGGAAACGCUUUAGUGCUUAAGGAUGGGUCUGUAUGGUAUCAGCUUGUUGGUGGAGUAAUGGCUCACCAAGGCUAUGACGCCUAACUGGUUUGAGAGGAUGAUCAGUCACACUGGAACUGAGACACGGUCCAGACUCCUACGGGAGGCAGCAGUGGGGAAUAUUGCACAAUGGACGAAAGUCUGAUGCAGCAACGCCGCGUGGAGGAUGACACAUUUCGGUGCGUAAACUCCUUUUAUAUAGGAAGAUAAUGACGGUACUAUAUGAAUAAGCACCGGCUAACUCCGUGCCAGCCGCCGCGGUAA